RNAcentral lists this long non-coding RNA (1331 nucleotides) under Homo sapiens (human). RNAcentral's name for it is "LHRI_LNC1397.6". The record is from RNAcentral. Lineage: Eukaryota; Metazoa; Chordata; Mammalia; Primates; Hominidae.
GCCCCUUGCCACGCAAGAAGUGCCUUUUGCCUCCCACCAUAAUUCUGAGGCCUCCCCAACCAUGUGGAACUGUUGGAGUGCAAUGGCGUGAUCUCCGCUCACUGCAACCUCUGCCUCCCAGGUUCAAGUGAUUCUCCCGCCUCAGCCACCCAAGUAGCUGGGAUUCCAGGUGCCCACCACCAUGCUUGGCUAAUUUUUGUAUUUUUAGUAGAGAUAGGGUUACACCAUGUUAACCAGGCUGGUCUCAAACUCCUGACCUCAGGUGAUCCACCUGCCUCGGCCUCCCAAAGUGCUGGGAUUACAGGCGUGAGCCACCGCGCAUGGCCGCAAAGUUUAUUUAGACAAUUGCGCUGAACCAUAAGGAAUAUCUCUGUGUGCUGUGACUUCUUUGAGCUGGUCUGAAUCCUAGCUAUGUGGUUAUGUACAUUUCAUUUUCAUCAACAGGACAGCCUGGCUGUCUGGCAAAACUAAAGAAAGAUUAUUUUGCUUAUCUAUUCCUCUCCCUCAUAGCCCUCCCCAAAUUAUAAAAUACUUUUGAAAGCAUGUAAAUGGUGUAGUAGUUGAGCUCAUUUUCCUUAUCUUGCAGGUAUGCAUAAGCCCUGCUCAAUCUACAAAACAAAACGAAAAUCUCAACUUUAUAAAACACUAAUAAUUUACUACAGUAUUUCUUCAAACACACACACAUAACUGACAUUUAUUGAGUGCUUUCUGUGUGCCAGGCCUAGGUCUAAGUUCUUUAUGUAAAUUAACUCACCCCUCGCAGCCCUCUUCCUGGGGCUGGUAGGAAUGCCUGUCUGUGGUCGGUGCUGAGAUGGGGCUCAGCCCCAGUGAGCAUCUUGUGAUCCUCCUAGGUGAUCAGAUGGCCGUCAGCCCCAUGGUCAUCCUUGUCCAUGAUGCACACACUUAGUUGUCUUCUUGUUGGCAUAAAAGGAUGCCAGUCUCCGCUGUUUCAGACAACAACCCCAGAAGGAUCAUUUGGAAGGGACUGUGGCUGUGUUCUGAAAGCUUCUUGACACCCCAGGUAAGGUCAAGAAAACAGCACACCAAAACUUGCAAAAGAGGUGUCUGAGGCUUGAUGAAGGUCCAGGAGAAAAUGCUGCCGGUGUCCUGAUGGCACAGAGCAAAGACCUUUGAGUGGAAACUCAUGGACCACAAUGAACAGGCCGCAGGUGGUAGAAUUUGGAAUGCUGGAUUCUGCUUCUGACCUUGACACCUAAUACACGGUUCUCGCCCUUUGAUACUUGGACUCUGAAUUGAAAAAGAUCUAGAACUAUCCUAACUGGUUUUAAAAAUUAUAUGCUCCUUUGUGUGUGUGUGUAUAAGAAUGACAU